Molecule: unclassified non-coding RNA, 371 nt
Filed under: fungal sp.
Lineage: Eukaryota; Fungi
Description: partial internal transcribed spacer region
Rfam family: Eukaryotic small subunit ribosomal RNA (bases 1-46)
Source: RNAcentral
AAGUCGUAACAAGGUUUCCGUAGGUGAACCUGCGGAAGGAUCAUUAACACGUGAAAACGUAUUAAAUCUACCUUGCAACAAUCUGUGCUUUCACCCGCUACCUUUCUCUUGGUAUUGUUCUAUACGAUAUGUAGUAGGAUAGUAUUGUCUUCGGAUGGUACUAUGCAAUUGUAUAGAUACUGAGGCUUCGAGCCUAAGAUAUCAUUUGAUUGGCUUUUUUUCUUAUUUCCCCUACUACAAAUAAACUAAAUCUAACCUAUUUCACCUUUUUAAACCAUUAUGACUGAUGUAAGUUGAUUGUAAGAAAUUACAUUGUCAACACCAUUUAUCUAAACUAAGCACAACUCUUAGCAAUGGAUAUCUUGGUUCUC